Molecule: ribosomal RNA, 468 nt
Filed under: uncultured bacterium
Lineage: Bacteria
Description: partial 16S ribosomal RNA
Rfam family: Bacterial small subunit ribosomal RNA
Source: RNAcentral
GACGAACGCUGGCGGCGUGCUUAACACAUGCAAGUCGAACGGAAAGGCCCUGCUUUUGUGGUGUGCUCGAGUGGCGAACGGGUGAGUAACACGUGAGUAACCUGCCCUUCACUUUGGGAUAACUUCAGGAAACUGGGGCUAAUACCGGAUAGGAUCUCCUGCUGCAUGGUGGGGGUUGGAUAGUCUCGGCGGGUGGGGAUGGACUCGCGGCUUAUCAGCUUGCUGGUGGGGUAGUUGCUUACCAAGGCUUUGACGGGUAGCCGGCCUGAGAGGGUGACCGGCGACAUUGAGACUGAGAUACGGCACAGACUCCUACGGGAGGAAGCAGUGGGGAAUAUUGAACAAUGGGCGGAGGCCUGAUGCAGCAACGCCGCGUGCGGGAUAACGGCCUUCGGGUUGUAAACCGCUUUCGCCUGUGACGAAGCGUGAGUGACGGUAAUGGGUAGAGAAGCACCGGCUAAAUACGUG